AGUGCAUAUUAUAAAUUAUGUUUUAUAGUGUUUAAUUAAAAUAUAGCAAGUUGAACAACUUUUCCUGUCUGCUGAUGUAAUGUAGGCCGUGUAGGUGGGGACAAAUGCUAGUAGCCAGUAGUCUUUCUUACCACUGCAUUUCUGAUAUUCCUCACUCUUGUCUUCCUCUCUUUCUUCCUCUGUAUAUUUCUGCUGGCUGUCUCUGUCUCCACCAUUUCUGGUGCCCUCUGCUGUCUGGCUUUUGUAAAACCAGCCUCCAGAAGACAAAAGCUGGGUAUAUUCUCCUCUGCACUUCAGCUCAGGGCCUAAAACCCUGCCAGAGGAUGAAGGGGAGAGUGAAACAUAAUCAGACCUCAGGAAAGAGGGGCAGCUACAAAGGUUCGGACUCUUCAGAUGUCCGGAAGCUGUACUGGUCGGACUUUUCGCAACUUAAGCAUCAUUUUCAUCGUCCUUUCACCCAUUCCAUAAACAACACCAAGCAAGUAGUAAUACCAAUGUCCAGACUUAUUUAUGAGUAAUAAUGAAAAUAUUUAUGUUUAAUUAUUUUUUGAUUGUUUUGUGUUUCAUUUAUUGUCUAAUUUACAUACUGUGAACGUAUUUUCCGAUUUGAGCUCUGGGACUCAAGACUUUUCCCAAGAGUGGGUUGUAGGUUAUUAUUUAAAAAAAAAAUUUUUUAGGGGAUUCUUUUUAGUUGUUAAUGCGCCUUGGUUAUCAGGUAGCAUUGUUUGUUUCGUAACUUUUGAAAAAUUUAAGUUCUGUCGCAGACCUUAGAUAUACCCAAACAUGGUUUGCUUUAUUUUUAUUGGUUCUUCAAAAAUAUAUUAAGCCAGCAAUAGUGUUCAGUGUUUCAGAGUUAUGAAUUUCCAAGAAGUGGCUGUUUGAUGUGUGAAAUUUGGCAAUAACCAAAGUCUCAAAAUGUUCUCUUUUUUAAUUUAAUUUUAAUGUAAAAAUUAGGACUGAUAACGGAUGCUGGAUGUUAUAGAAAAUGACAUUUUCCGCAUCACCUGAUCUUUAUAUUCUUGUUUUGGCUUAUUUUUAUACAUUCUGGUCAUUUCAAUUUGUUCCACAGAUUUUCCCGCCAAAAUCCAGUACAAAGUCAUCAGGGCCUGGUUAUUAAGACAUGUUAAACUGAAAGAUGGGACCAAACUUAUGUGGGAGGCCAAAUAUGUAAAACAACUUGUUACCAUAAUCGCAAUCAGAAAUAUUUAAGUUAAAACAUUAAUUUGUAAAUCCACAUGUAUAGAAUUUGUGUGUGUGCCUAUGCAUUGAGCGUGUUUGUGGUUUUGAGUAACCGAGUGUCUCAUUUUACAAUGGAAGUGUGCAACACUGAUUCUUAUAAUGUGCAGUGGCCAGCUGUUAUUGAUAUUGCUGUUGUAUCCAAAAUAAAAGGACUACUGCAGCAAUACAUAUGUAAAGUGUAGCACACACAUAUUUUGGUUGCCUUAAUUAGUUUUUGCCAACCUAAUCCUAUUGUAGUUAUAAACUACCGUAUUCACUGAUUCAGUCUUUCUGGUUCACCAAUGAUAGUGUCUUAGAGAAUUUGUAUAUAGCUCUUUAAAUACAUAUAAAAUCUAUUUUAAAUGUUAUUUGAAGUUUUCUUUUGUAUUUCAUUUUUCACAAGUGGCUUGUGAAAGGUGUCCUAUAGGUCCACACAAACCCAACCAUUCUUCCAGCGUCGAGGACGUUUUCUUGUGUUUGAGUCUGUUUCUUUGUAUCAUAUGUGUACACUUUACAGUUGGGAUUGUAAAGUCUGUACGGUCAAAGACAAUACAACUGUAUCAAUCACUUACUCUGCCAACAGUUGAGCUGUUUGUGUGUGUACGCAUGUAUGUGUGUGUGGUCAAAAAGGUGUGUGCACCCCUAAAUAGCAAAAGAGCAUGAUGAAAUGUGAGUCUAUUGACAUUGAUGUACAGCAUAUACAUUUAUCUCUUUGAAAAGACCACGACCAAUGGACCGAUGUGUGUACAUUUGUUCAGAUCCUUAAAUAAAUACAACUGGUGGACUUGAUUCACAAGAUUUUUGUUUUAUUUUAUUUUUUGUUCUUGUACCAUUUUUUCCAAAAAAAUCUCACAAAUUCAACAGAUAUACAUCACAAAUUAAAUGUAACCAUGAGAUUUGGUUUUGAUGUUAUAAAAUUUGAAAACUACUUAUUUUGAAUUUGAUGCUAGCAAACUAUGCUUUAUCACAGUAGCUGUUUUGUGCAUGAUUAUACAUUAUUUCAUAAACAUCAUGAAGUGAAUUAAAUGUUACCUUGUACUUGACAGGCUGCAGUGGCAAAACCUCUGGGACUUUUUGUUUUAUCACUCCACUUGUCCGUGUUUGCACAGUCCAGUCUUCAUAUUAACAAGAACUAUUACUAAGGUUUAACAAAAAUUUUUUGUUCGAUGAAUUUCCGCAGACAAAGUCCAAUAAAUUUUAAUAAGAUUCCAUGCAAUUUCAUACCAGGAUGAAAAAUUUCCCCAAGAAGAUUUUGCAACAGGUUCAAGGUUAACAACUUUCAUGGACCCAAUUGGAUUCAACAGAAUAAAAAUAAAAAUGUUUUUUAAAAACACUACAAAACCAAUUAAAACAGCAAACCUUAAAAUUUAAUGUCUC
Molecule: long non-coding RNA, 2595 nt
Filed under: Sinocyclocheilus anshuiensis
Lineage: Eukaryota; Metazoa; Chordata; Actinopteri; Cypriniformes; Cyprinidae
Description: lncRNA (ENSSANG00000026899.1)
Source: RNAcentral